RNAcentral lists this ribosomal RNA (393 nucleotides) under uncultured bacterium. Its description in RNAcentral is "partial 16S ribosomal RNA". It matches the Rfam family "Bacterial small subunit ribosomal RNA", at positions 523 to 918 of the family's 1533-position model. The record is from RNAcentral.
AUACGGAGGAUCCGAGCGUUAUCCGGAUUUAUUGGGUUUAAAGGGUGCGCAGGCGGGAGAUUAAGUCGGCGGUGGAAAUUUGGAGCUCCACUGUAAAAGUGCCUUCGAAACUUGUUUCCUUGAGUGUAGAUGAAGUAGGCGGAAUUUAUAGUAAAACGGUGAAAUGCAUAGAUAUCACGAGGAACUCCGAUUGCGCAGGCAGCUUACUAAACUACUACUGACGCUCAGGCACGAAGGCGUGGGGAUCAAACAGGAUUAGAUACCCUGGUAGUCCACGCAGUAAACGAUGAUUACUAGCUGUUUGCGAUACAAUGUAAGCGGCUGAGCGAAAGCGUUAAGUAAUCCACCUGGGGAGUACGUUCGCAAGAAUGAAACUCAAAUGAAUUGACGGGG